This 253-nucleotide ribosomal RNA is filed under the name uncultured bacterium. RNAcentral's name for it is "partial 16S ribosomal RNA". It matches the Rfam family "Bacterial small subunit ribosomal RNA", at positions 524 to 776 of the family's 1533-position model. The record is from RNAcentral.
UACGAAGGGGGCUAGCGUUGCUCGGAAUCACUGGGCGUAAAGCGCACGUAGGCGGAUCUUUAAGUCAGGGGUGAAAUCCUGGAGCUCAACUCCAGAACUGCCUUUGAUACUGGGGAUCUCGAGUCCGGAAGAGGUGAGUGGAACUCCGAGUGUAGAGGUGAAAUUCGUAGAUAUUCGGAAGAACACCAGUGGCGAAGGCGGCUCACUGGUCCGGUACUGACGCUGAGGUGCGAAAGCUAGGGGAGCAAACGGG